Molecule: ribosomal RNA, 936 nt
Filed under: Triticum aestivum (bread wheat)
Lineage: Eukaryota; Viridiplantae; Streptophyta; Magnoliopsida; Poales; Poaceae
Description: partial small subunit ribosomal RNA
Source: RNAcentral
AUGGAGACGCUGCAGCCGAUCCAGCAAACCCUGGGCGAGAUCGACAAACAGAUCCCCGGCGCCCUCCGCACCGCGUUUGGCCUCGAGAAGUGAGCCUCGCGCUCCUCCGAGGACGCCAUCGCCAGCUUCUUCGCGCUAUAUCUAGAGCCGCCGCAUCCUCGGGAGCGCCGCGAGCGCGACGGCGACGAGCCGCGGGCUCUGAGGAUGAUCUGGGCCUCAUGCUACGCGCCGCGCCACAACGAGGACGCACACUUCGGGCACAACGAGGCCGGCAUCGUCGGCGUGGCGGACGGCGGCGGGUACCGCAACAAAGGCGUGGACGCCGGUGCGUUCUCGCGCAGGCUCAUGAAGAGCGCCUUCCUGCAGGUGCUGGCGACCGAGCCCGGCCCGCCCGUCUGCCCGUACACGCUGCUGGAGCAGGCGUACAAGGAAACGGUCGCCUCGGCCGCGGACGGGGGGUCGACGGCGGUCAUCCUCUCGCUCGCCGGCACGGCUCUCAAGUGGGCGUUCAUCGGCGAUAGCGCGUUCUCCGUGUUCUGAGACGGCAGGCUCAACCGUUCGCAGCGGCAGCAGAGGCGUUUCAACUACCCGUUCCAGCUCAAUGCGACCGGCAAAGGGGAGCGCGUGAACAAAGCCGACGUCAGGAAAAUGGCGGUGAGACACGGGGACGUCGUGGUGCUCGGGACAGACGGGCUGUUCGACAACAUGUUCGACGCAGAGCUGGAGGUGGUCGUCCGGAUGGGCAUGGCGCUGGGCUUGUCACCCAAGAACAUGGCAGACGUCGUCGCGGGCAUCGCUUACGAGAUGUCGACGAGCAAAACCAAAGACUCGCCGUACAACGCCGACAGCCGGAGGCUGAAAAGAGACCACCGCCGUGGUGGGAAGCCAUACGAUAUCACUGUCGUCGUCGCGUUCAUUGUCUCUCUGUACUCUUGA